GCCAGACUCCUACGGGAGGCAGCAGUGGGGGAUAUUGCACAAUGGGGGGAACCCUGAUGCAGCGACGCCGCGUGGGUGAAGGAGCGUUUCGGCGCGUAAAGCCCUAUCGGCAGGGAAGAAGGAGGACGGUACCUGACUAAGAAGCCCCGGCUAACUACGUGCCAGCAGCUGCGGUAAUACGUAGGGGGCAAGCGUUAUCCGGAUUUACUGGGUGUAAAGGGGGCGCAGACGGCAGCGCAAGCCAGGAGUGAAAGCCCGGGGCCCAACCCCGGGACUGCUCUUGGAACUGCGCGGCUGGAGUGCAGGAGGGGCAGGCGGAAUUCCUGGUGUAGCGGUGAAAUGCGUAGAUAUCAGGAGGAACACCGGUGGCGAAGGCGGCCUGCUGGACUGCGACUGACGUUGAGGCCCGAAAGCGUGGGGAGCAAACAGGAUUAGAUACCCGCGUAU
This 447-nucleotide ribosomal RNA is filed under the name uncultured bacterium. Its description in RNAcentral is "partial 16S ribosomal RNA". It matches the Rfam family "Bacterial small subunit ribosomal RNA", at positions 330 to 793 of the family's 1533-position model. The record is from RNAcentral.